AUUGAACACUGGCGGAAUGCUUCACAAAUGCAAGUCGAACGGCAGCACGGACUUCGGUCUGGUGGCGAGUGGCGAACGGGUGAGUAAUGUAUCGGAACGUGCCCAGUCGUGGGGGAUAACGUAGUGAAAAUUACGCUAAUACCGCAUACGAUCUAGGGAUGAAAGCGGGGGAUCGCAAGACCUCGCGCGAUUGGAGCGGCCGAUAUCAGAUUAGGUAGUUGGUGGGGUAAAGGCCCACCAAGCCAACGAUCUGUAGCUGGUCUGAGAGGACUACCAACCACACUAGACCUGAGACACGGUCCAGACUCCUCCGGGAGGCAGCAGUGGGGAAUUUUGGACAAUGGGCGAAAGCCUGAUCCAGCCAUUCCGCGUGCAGGAUGAAGGCCCUCGGGUUGUAAACUGCUUUUGUACAGAACGAAAAUGUUUCUACGAAUACGAGGAGCUCAUGACGGUACUGUAAGAAUAAGCACCGGCUAACUACGUGCCAGCAGCCGCCGUAA
This 500-nucleotide ribosomal RNA is filed under the name uncultured bacterium. Its description in RNAcentral is "partial 16S ribosomal RNA". It matches the Rfam family "Bacterial small subunit ribosomal RNA", at positions 30 to 523 of the family's 1533-position model. The record is from RNAcentral.